This 469-nucleotide ribosomal RNA is filed under the name uncultured bacterium. Its description in RNAcentral is "bacterial SSU rRNA". It matches the Rfam family "Bacterial small subunit ribosomal RNA", at positions 355 to 823 of the family's 1533-position model. The record is from RNAcentral.
UGGGGAAUAUUGGGCAAUGGGCGCAAGCCUGACCCAGCAAUACCGCGUGUGUGAAGAAGGCCUGAGGGUUGUAAAGCACUUUCAAUGGGGAGGAAAAAGGCAAGUUUAAUACGCUUGCCCUUGACAUUACCCAUACAAGAAGCACCGGCUAACUCCGUGCCAGCAGCCGCGGUAAUACGGAGGGUGCGAGCGUUAAUCGGAAUUACUGGGCGUAAAGCGUGCGCAGGCGGUUUGUUAAGACAGGUGUGAAAUCCCCGGGCUUAACCUGGGAAUUGCAUCGGAUACAGCCUGGCUUGAGGACGGUUGGGGUGAGUGGAACUCCUGGUGGAGCGGUGAAAUGCGUAGAUAUCAGGAGGAACACCGGUGGCGAAAGCGGCUCACUGGACCGUAACUGACGCUGAGGUGCGAAAGCUAGGGGAGCAAACGGGAUUAGAUACCCUGGUAGUCCCUGAGCGGGCUGGCAAGGCGC